Python bivittatus (Burmese python) is the source of this 245-nucleotide non-coding RNA. The record is from RefSeq and is a predicted model, not a curated record. Lineage: Eukaryota; Metazoa; Chordata; Lepidosauria; Squamata; Pythonidae.
CUUCCUGUCUUCACUCCCUCCGUCCAAAAGCUCGUUAAUAUUUCCAGAGUAUUCUGCCUCCCAGUCCUCGUUAACACUUUCCUGCGCUCCUUCCUCUCCAAGUUGUAACGUGAGACUAGACGCUUUUAACAGCAGCUGCACGGUACUACAGGAACAGCAAAAGUAGUAACAGACGAAUCGGUGUCAGAAGAAGACAAAAGGAGGUGUGUUGACAAUGAAUUGGACUGAAGUUGCAUUGAUCAAAA